RNAcentral lists this transfer RNA (71 nucleotides) under Paeniglutamicibacter antarcticus. RNAcentral's name for it is "tRNA-Cys". It matches the Rfam family "tRNA". Rfam says of the family: Transfer RNA (tRNA) molecules are approximately 80 nucleotides in length. Their secondary structure includes four short double-helical elements and three loops (D, anti-codon, and T loops). RNAcentral also lists the same sequence under 1 other name. Lineage: Bacteria; Bacillati; Actinomycetota; Actinomycetes; Micrococcales; Micrococcaceae. The record is from RNAcentral.
GGCGCCGUGGGAGAGCGGCCAUCCACCAGCCUGCAAAGCUGCUCACACGGGUUCGAGUCCCGUCGGCGCCU